GACGAACGCUGGCGGCGUGCUUAACACAUGCAAGUCGAACGGAAAGGCCCUGCUUUUGUGGGGUGCUCGAGUGGCGAACGGGUGAGUAACACGUGAGUAACCUGCCCUUGACUUUGGGAUAACUUCAGGAAACUGGGGCUAAUACCGGAUAGGAGCUCCUGCUGCAUGGUGGGGGUUGGAAAGUUUCGGCGGUUGGGGAUGGACUCGCGGCUUAUCAGCUUGUUGGUGGGGUAGUGGCUUACCAAGGCUUUGACGGGUAGCCGGCCUGAGCGGGUGACCGGCCACAUUGGGACUGAGAUACGGCCCAGACUCCUACGGGAGGCAGCAGUGGGGAAUAUUGCACAAUGGGCGGAAGCCUGAUGCAGCAACGCCGCGUGCGGGAUGACGGGCUUCGGGUUGUAAACCGCUUUCGCCUGUGACGAAGCGUGAGUGACGGUAAUGGGUAAAGAAGCACCGGCUAACUACGUG
Molecule: ribosomal RNA, 468 nt
Filed under: uncultured bacterium
Lineage: Bacteria
Description: partial 16S ribosomal RNA
Rfam family: Bacterial small subunit ribosomal RNA
Source: RNAcentral